UACGUAGGGCGCAAGCGUUGUCCGGAAUUAUUGGGCGUAAAGAGCUCGUAGGCGGCUUGUCACGUCGAUUGUGAAAGCCCGAGGCUUAACCUCGGGUCUGCAGUCGAUACGGGCUAGCUAGAGUGUGGUAGGGGAGAUCGGAAUUCCUGGUGUAGCGGUGAAAUGCGCAGAUAUCAGGAGGAACACCGGUGGCGAAGGCGGAUUUCUGGACCAGUUCUGACACUGAUGAGCGAAAGCCAGGGGAGCAAACAGG
This 253-nucleotide ribosomal RNA is filed under the name uncultured bacterium. Its description in RNAcentral is "partial 16S ribosomal RNA". It matches the Rfam family "Bacterial small subunit ribosomal RNA", at positions 524 to 776 of the family's 1533-position model. The record is from RNAcentral.